GUUGAGAAGAGCCCCUUUAUUUUAUAACUGUCUUCAUUUGUAAAUUUUCUUCCAUAUAAAUUUUUAAGUUUUAUAAAUAAAAUUUAUUAGAUAAAAAAUACUAACUUUAGACAAGUUUUAGAGAAUCAAAAUUUUAAUUAUAUACUUUUUAUAUUUUACAAGAAUAAUUUAAGCAGAAAACUAUCAUAACUUUUAAAAAUAUUUAUAAAAAAAUUAAUUUAGAGAUAAUUAUUUGUAUGUCUCUCUAAAGUUUUAAUUAUUUUACUUGGCUCCCCAAACUCUUGAAAUUUAUAAAUUUGUCAUUCUUUAUUAGUUGACAUAUUAAUAUUAAUUUUUUCAGUACAUAUGAAUCUCUCUUCAGUCUCUUCUUUUUUGUUUUUGGAUUAGUAAUGAUAAAUUUUUUUAUGCAUAUUUUGUAUUUAAAUUUUUUUAAAAAAUUUCUAUCCGCCGCAUCGCACGGGAGUCUACACUAGUAUAAUUUGAAAGUUGGGUCACAUCAAAAGUCAUGAGAGUGACAUGUGUCCUUUUCUAUUAGAUAUCUAUUAGAUAUCUAUCUGUAAACAAAUAUAUAAUUUGAGAGUUGGGUUACGUCAAAAGUUAUGGGAGUGACAUGUGUCCUUCUCUAUUAGAUAUCUAUAGAUAUAUAAUGAACUAGGCUACUAUACUAUCGGUAGCACGGAGCGCUCCGUGCUAUCAAGUUGUUUUCGAUGAUGCAGUUUCUAAAUCGACGAUCAGCUCCGUUAGGCUUGAUCUACACUAUUGAAAGUAUUUAGAAACUAAAUUUCAUAAUUUUUCGAUAUUAUUUAUCUAUCAAACAAAUAGUCUAAAAUUAUACGGCUGAAAAUAAAAAUCUCAUGAAAAAUGAUGAUAAAAGAUUUAAAUUCAAGAUAAGAUAUACUGAUCUUACUCUAAAUAAUGAAAAGAAUUUUCUAUAAAAUUUUCAUCGCAUUUGGAUUGUUUUACACCGUUAAACUCACAAACACACCACAUCAACCAUCAAAAUUAUCAAUUUUGAGAUCUUUUGAUCACUAGUCAAAUGAUGUCGAAAAAAUCUGAAAUUUAGUUUCCAAAUACUUUCAAUAGUGUAGAUCAAGUCUAACGGAGCAGAUUGUCGAUUUAGAAGCCGCAUUAUCAAAACAACUUGGUAGCACGGAGCGCUCCGUGCUACCGGUAGCAUAGUAGCCGGACUCGAUAUAUAAUUUGAUAUUUAUUAGAUAUAUAGUUUGACAUAUAUCUAUUAGAUAUAUGACAGUUGGGUCACAUCAAAAUGCGUUACACGAUAUAUAAUUUGAUAUCUAUUAGAUAUAUAGUUUGACAUAUAUCUAUUAGAUAUAUGACAGUUGGGUCACAUCAAAAUGCGUUACAUAUAUAAUUUGAGAGGUGAGUCGUAUCAAAAGCCAUGAGAGUGAUAUGUGUUCAUACGCUACCCACUUCAUUUAUUUCAUUUAGAAAUAAACUUGGUUAGAAAUGUGAAUCAACUAGGAUUCGAAGUCGGGUCUCGGGUAUCAACCACCAAACCCUUUGUCACUUGCUCUAGGGACGGGCGGUACAAUCUAUUACUGUAUUAAAUAUAUAAUUUGAGAGUUGAGUCACAUCAAAAAUCAUGCGAGUGACAUGUGUCCUCCUCUCUUUGCCUCUACACUUCAACAAUAUAUAUUGCAUGCACUCGGUCUACGAAAAUAUCAUAUACACCAAAUCUAUUUUUUAAUUAUUAAUAUUUUAAAAUCUAUAAGAUAUUUAAUUUGAUAGCUAUUAGAUAUAUAAUUUGACAUAUAUCUAUUAAAUAUAUAAUUUGAGAGUUUGGUCACAUCAAAAGCCAUGAGAGUGACAUAUGUCAUCCUCUCUUUGCCUUCUUCACUUUAACAAUAAAUAUUGAAUGCACAUGGUCUAUGAAAUUAUCAUACACACCAAAUCUAUUUUUUAAUAUAAUUUGAGAGUUGAUUCACAUUAAAAACCAUGCGAGUGACAUGUGUCCUUCUCUCUUUGCCUCUUCACUUCAACAAUAUAUAUUGCAUGUACUUGGUUUACGAAAAUAUCAUAUACACAAAAUCUAUUUUUUAAUUAUUAAUAUUUUAAAAUCUAUAAGAUAUAUAAUUUGAUAUCUAUUAUCUAUUAAAUAUAUAAUUUGAGAGUUGGGUCACAUCAAAAGUCAUGAGAGUGACAUGUGUCCUCCUCUCUUUGCCUUCUUCACUUUAACAAUAUAUAUUGCGUGCACCCGGUCUAUGAAAAUAUACACCAAAUCUAUUUUUUAAUUAUUAAAUUUUAAAAUCUGUAAGAUAUAUAAUCUAUCUAUUAGAUAUCUUCUAUAGAUAGAUAUAUAAUUUGAGAGUCGGGUCACAUCAAAAGUGAUGAUAGUGACAUGUGUCCUCCUUUCUUUGCCUUCUUCACUUUAACAAUAUAUAUUGCAUGCACCCGAUCUAUGAAAAUAUUAUAUACACCAAAUCUCUUUUUUAAUUAUUAAAUUUUAAAAUCUAUAAUAUAUAUAAUCUAUCUAUUAGAUAUAUAAUAUAUAUAAUCGAGUUGGACUGGGCUACUAUUAGUAGCAAAAUCUCAUUGUUGCUACCAAUUUUUUAGCCUUUGGAUCAACUCUUUUCAUUAUUUCUAACCAUUAGAUUAAUUACUAUAACCCAGUGGGGACCACUCAACCCUAGGGGGACCACUCAACUCUAACUAACUAAUAUCAUCCUGACCCUACAAUUUUUCAUCCAAGGGUUAAAAAUUUGAUAGCAAAAAGAGCGUUUUACUAUUAAUAGUAUUCCAAGGUAAUUCUAUAUAAUCUAUCUAUUAGAUAUAUAAUUUGAGAGUUGGGUCACAUCGAAAACCAUGGGAGUAGGAGUGACAUGUGUCCUCCUAUUUUUACCUUCUCCAUUUCAACAAUGUAUAUUACAUGCAUCCGAUCUACAAAAAUAUCAUAUACAUCAUGUCUAUUUUUUAAUUAUUAAUAUUUUAAAAUCUAUAAGAUAUAUAAUUUAACAAUUUGGCAAUUCUAUCACUUCACAAAAAUCGUUAAUGCUAAUUAUCAUAUAUUUUAUCAAUUGUCUAAUAUAUUUUUGCUGUAUAUAAAAUAUUGGUAUAUACGAGAUGCAAG
Molecule: long non-coding RNA, 3088 nt
Filed under: Ananas comosus (pineapple)
Lineage: Eukaryota; Viridiplantae; Streptophyta; Magnoliopsida; Poales; Bromeliaceae
Description: long non-coding RNA (ACOM_LNC025478)
Source: RNAcentral